RNAcentral lists this non-coding RNA (25 nucleotides) under Mus musculus (house mouse). Lineage: Eukaryota; Metazoa; Chordata; Mammalia; Rodentia; Muridae. The record is from RNAcentral.
UACUUAUUGUUUUACCUGGGGGACC